UAGGGAAUAUUGGACAAUGGGCGCAAGCCUGAUCCAGCGAUGCCGCGUGAGUGAUGAAGGCCUUAGGGUUGUA
RNAcentral lists this ribosomal RNA (73 nucleotides) under uncultured bacterium. RNAcentral's name for it is "partial 16S ribosomal RNA". It matches the Rfam family "Bacterial small subunit ribosomal RNA", at positions 355 to 427 of the family's 1533-position model. The record is from RNAcentral.